This 753-nucleotide long non-coding RNA is filed under the name Mytilus galloprovincialis (Mediterranean mussel). The record is from RNAcentral. Lineage: Eukaryota; Metazoa; Mollusca; Bivalvia; Mytilida; Mytilidae.
GCAAAUACUUUUAAACCUUUUGUUAAUUUUACGGAUUUUGCAGGCAAUGCUUUAGUUAUAUAGUUAUUUGAUGUUUGUAAAUUUUAAAACACUUUAAAUAGGAAUAAAUAGGAAAUCUUUGGAAUUAGGAAUUAUGGUUUCCAUAAGGUUUGGAAACCAUAUUUAAAUUCGUUAACAGUUAGAAAGGAUCUAACUGUUAACUUAAAAUAGGUACUGUUUCAGGAAGGACCUGGCAGUUACCUUGAUUUUAUGGAAUGCUGUCUAAGUAAGGACUUGACAGUACUUCUUUAAACAUUUUUUUUGUAUUUAUAUCAGGAAGGACCUGAUAGUUAUUUAACAUAUUUUGAACUGAUAAGGAAUCAGUUUCCUAAACUUAUUUAUCUAAAUCAGAAAAGGUUUCUGAUUAACUUCUGCACAUAUUAUUAAACUUUAUAUUUAUAGAAAUUGUAGUUAAAUAAGUAAUUUAUAUAGCAAGACUCAACCAUGUAAAGGUUCACGUAUAUAUCAGUACAAAUUCUUAAAUAGUACUACCAACAGUACUAUAUGAGACCAGAGAUCACAACCUCCUAUUUUUCCAUGUAUUUCAACACAUUUAAUAAUACCUUAUAAAAUUGAUAAAUUGUCAAAAGAUUAGAGUUCUUCAUUUUUAUUGAGAGCUCUGAGACUGGUUUAGAGGUGCUAGAAAUUUUAUUAUGUAAUUACUGUAUACUUAUAUUGUAUUUUCAAAUACAUAUUUGAUGUAAACUUCAUGAC